This 253-nucleotide ribosomal RNA is filed under the name uncultured bacterium. RNAcentral's name for it is "partial 16S ribosomal RNA". It matches the Rfam family "Bacterial small subunit ribosomal RNA", at positions 524 to 776 of the family's 1533-position model. The record is from RNAcentral.
UACAGAGGGUGCAAGCGUUAAUCGGAAUUACUGGGCGUAAAGCGUGCGUAGACGGUUGCGUAAGUCAGAUGUGAAAGCCCCGGGCUCAACCUGGGAAUUGCAUUUGAGACUGCGUAGCUAGGGUGCGGAAGAGGGAAGCGGAAUUUCCGGUGUAGCGGUGAAAUGCGUAGAUAUCGGAAGGAACACCAGUGGCGAAAGCGGCUUCCUGGUCUAGCACCGACGUUCAGGCACGAAAGCGUGGGGAGCAAACAGG